Non-coding RNA from Aegilops tauschii subsp. strangulata, 4850 nucleotides. The record is from RefSeq and is a predicted model, not a curated record. Lineage: Eukaryota; Viridiplantae; Streptophyta; Magnoliopsida; Poales; Poaceae.
GAUCAUAGCAAUCUUUCCAUAUGCUUAAUACGUACCCUCAUGCCUUCAAACUUUCCAAGCGCUUAAUCCCCUCAUGCGCUCAAACUUUAUCCGUGCGAUUUCCCGGAUCUUCGUUUCUCUUUGUGUUGUGGCAGCCGUUGUGCGAGUCAGCGUGCUUGAGCGCGUCAGGUUCGGUUUCAAGGUGCAGUGAUGGAGUAUGAUGCUAUUGGCUUGCUGCCUACUUCUAGGUAUCAUGUCAGCCUGCUGAAGGAGAGUUUGUGGUUGCCUGCAAAUUUUAUCCGAAUUUUUAUUUUUCAUUGAUGUUCGUCUUCAGGCUUGGUUUGGGGCUCCUUCAAGUCUUGAUCCAUGGCUAGGUCUGCAUGCUGGAUUGAAUUUCCAUGCCCUUAAUCCCCAAUCUGUUUGCACAUCUCAUUUGUUCAUUUGUUCAAGCUUUAACCAUGUAAUUUCCCAGAUCUUCGUUCUCUGCGUUGUGGUAGCUGCUGUGAGUUCGGGCCGGAGUAACCCCAUCGCCGGCAAUGCACGGGAUGCAUGGCAGCCUAGAAGCAGGUUCGGUUGUAGAUGACAGGCUCAAAUACAUUCUCGGCCAUAGCAUAAGAACCAAGCAUGUCAUGGAUGCAUGCAUAGAUAUGUACAGGGGUGAAACGUGAUCAGCGAGCCAGGAUGCCAGACGGUUUAAUUAGAAUUGAUAGGCGCAAUCAUAUCUUUCAACUAAUCUAUAUAUCUUCCACUUCCACAUUUAUCUUUUAUUCUGCACCAGAUGGAACUGGAAUCGAUGUAAAAAAUAUUGGGGAUGCUGGUGCUGAAUUAAGUAAGAUGUUUAGGAGAUAUCUGGGUUAGUGGAUAUGCAUCAUAAAUAAUGAAUGCUGACAUGAUGAGUUCUCCUUCACAAUUUGCUCGGAUUUUCAGGUAUUAAGUAAGAUGUUUAGGAGAUAUUUGUGUUAGCGCAUAUGCAUCAUAAAAAAUGUAUGUAUACAUGUUGAGUUCUCCGUCACAAUUUGAUCAGAUUUUCUGGUCUUCGAUGAAGCUCCGGCUAUUUCUUCUUCUGAUAUUCGUUCUUCAUGUAGUUUUCCUCUAUAGUUACUAACCUUCUGUAGUUUUCCUCGAUAGUUACUAACCUAUACAAUAGAUUUUGUACCAUGUUCAUUACCUAAUCAGAUUUGACCUUGACGUACAUGAAGAUUGGAGACAAAGUUGUACAGCAAGACGCAUAAGGAGUUGCUUCUAGCAUGUUGAUCUGUACCUCUGGCGUAGUACAGGUGCAUUGAGUCAUGGUUCAGAGUCUGGUGAGCGCUGAUCCAAUUGCCUACACCAGGUUUGAUCUGGGGACCUUUACAUUUCGACAGAUAUUUCUCCUAGAGUUUCAAAAACCAGAGGGAUACAAUAUACAAUACACAUUACUUAUAUAUACAAAUUAAAUUGAAGGUCGUCAUUUAAGUUGCGUGUUCUUUUGUUUGCAUUGAAGUCCCAUUUUUUGUAUUUUUUGCAUUAUAUUGAAGAAGAAAUAGAUUUUGUACGAUGAUCAUUACCUAAUCAGAUUUGACCUUGGCGUACAUGGAGAUUGGAGACAAAGUUUUACGGCAAGACACCCGAGCAGUUGUUUCUAGCAUCUUGAUCUGCACCUCUAGAGAGGUCCAAGUGCAUCGACUCAUGGUUUAGAGUCUGGUGGGCGCCUGUCCAAUUGCCUACGCCAAAUUUGAUCUGGGGACCUUUACAUUUUGACAGAUUUUUAUCCAAGAGGUUCAAAAACUAGAGCGAUACAAUAUGCAGUAGACAUUACUUAUAUAAAAAUUAAAUUGUAGGUCACCAUUUAAGUUGUGUGUUCUUCUUUUUGUAUCGAAGUCCCAUUUUUUUGUAUUUUUCCCCACAAUAUUGAAGAAGAAACUAACGUCCCUAGAUGUAUUUAAUACAAUUAACCGUGGGGCCCAUGCUUAUUCUAUACUAAUUAGCGACUCCCAAGAAAUUACCACGUUAAUCAGUAAUUAGGAGCUGUUAAUCUGGUGGGACCGAAUUAUAACGGUGUAGAUUAACCAGUCUAUUUUAAGCCCUUUAGUAAAAUACGCAAUGCAAUCUACGGUAAUCUUUGUCCCAAUUCUGUGUAGGUCAUGUCAAAAAAAAAUUCUGUGUAGGUCACGACCUCCCCAUCUCCUUCAAAAAAAAAAAUCUUUCUAAAGCCCACAAUCUUUGAUGGUUGUAAACGUAGAAUACAUGGAAGACUCGAUCCUAAUCUAGAUCGUAUUGUGUAGGUCACAAACUCCCCAUCUCCUUCCCCUAAAAAAACUGCCCAUCUCCUUCCCCUAAAAACGAACUCCCCAUCGCCUCAUCUCAGAAAAUAAAAAACCCUCUCACACACGCCGCCGCCGCAGCAGAAGCAGCCGCCGUGUUCGCCUCGCUGCAUACAGCUGGUCGAUCAUAGCAAUCUUUCCAUAUGCUUAAUACGUACCCUCAUGCCUUCAAACUUUCCAAGCGCUUAAUCCCCUCAUGCGCUCAAACUUUAUCCGUGCGAUUUCCCAGAUCUUCGUUUCUCUUUGUGUUGUGGCAGCCGUUGUGCGAGUCAGCGUGCUUGAGCGCGUCAGGUUCGGUUUCAAGGUGCAGUGAUGGAGUAUGAUGCUAUUGGCUUGCUGCCUACUUCUAGGCUUGGUUUGGGGCUCCUUCAAGUCUUGAUCCAUGGCUAGAUCUUCGUUCUCUGCGUUGUGGUAGCUGCUGUGAGUUCGGGCCGGAGUAACCCCAUCGCCGGCAAUGCACGGGAUGCAUGGCAGCCUAGAAGCAGGUUCGGUUGUAGAUGACAGGCUCAAAUACAUUCUCGGCCAUAGCAUAAGAACCAAGCAUGUCAUGGAUGCAUGCAUAGAUAUGUACAGGGGUGAAACGUGAUCAGCGAGCCAGGAUGCCAGACGGUUUAAUUAGAAUUGAUAGGCGCAAUCAUAUCUUUCAACUAAUCUAUAUAUCUUCCACUUCCACAUUUAUCUUUUAUUCUGCACCAGAUGGAACUGGAAUCGAUGUAAAAAAUAUUGGGGAUGCUGGUGCUGAAUUAAGUAAGAUGUUUAGGAGAUAUCUGGGUUAGUGGAUAUGCAUCAUAAAUAAUGAAUGCUGACAUGAUGAGUUCUCCUUCACAAUUUGCUCGGAUUUUCAGGUAUUAAGUAAGAUGUUUAGGAGAUAUUUGUGUUAGCGCAUAUGCAUCAUAAAAAAUGUAUGUAUACAUGUUGAGUUCUCCGUCACAAUUUGAUCAGAUUUUCUGGUCUUCGAUGAAGCUCCGGCUAUUUCUUCUUCUGAUAUUCGUUCUUCAUGUAGUUUUCCUCUAUAGUUACUAACCUUCUGUAGUUUUCCUCGAUAGUUACUAACCUAUACAAUAGAUUUUGUACCAUGUUCAUUACCUAAUCAGAUUUGACCUUGACGUACAUGAAGAUUGGAGACAAAGUUGUACAGCAAGACGCAUAAGGAGUUGCUUCUAGCAUGUUGAUCUGUACCUCUGGCGUAGUACAGGUGCAUUGAGUCAUGGUUCAGAGUCUGGUGAGCGCUGAUCCAAUUGCCUACACCAGGUUUGAUCUGGGGACCUUUACAUUUUGACAGAUAUUUCUCCUAGAGUUUCAAAAACCAGAGGGAUACAAUAUACAAUACACAUUACUUAUAUAUACAAAUUAAAUUGAAGGUCGUCAUUUAAGUUGCGUGUUCUUUUGUUUGCAUUGAAGUCCCAUUUUUUGUAUUUUUUGCAUUAUAUUGAAGAAGAAAGAUAAUAGAUUUUGUACGAUGAUCAUUACCUAAUCAGAUUUGACCUUGGCGUACAUGGAGAUUGGAGACAAAGUUUUACGGCAAGACACCCGAGCAGUUGUUUCUAGCAUCUUGAUCUGCACCUCUAGAGAGGUCCAAGUGCAUCGACUCAUGGUUUAGAGUCUGGUGGGCGCCUGUCCAAUUGCCUACGCCAAAUUUGUUCUGGGGACCUUUACAUUUUGACAGAUUUUUAUCCAAGAGUUUCAAAAACUAGAGCGAUACAAUAUGCAGUAGACAUUACUUAUAUAAAAAUUAAAUUGUAGGUCACCAUUUAAGUUGUGUGUUCUUCUUUUUGUAUCGAAGUCCCAUUUUUUUGUAUUUUUCCCCACAAUAUUGAAGAAGAAACUAACGUCCCUAGAUGUAUUUAAUACAAUUAACCGUGGGGCCCAUGCUUAUUCUAUACUAAUUAGUGACUCCCAAGAAAUUACCACGUUAAUGAGUAAUUAGGAGCCGUUAAUCUGGUGGGACCGAAUUAUAACUAUGUAGAUUAACCAGUCUAUUUUAAGCCCUUUAGUAAAAUACGCAAUGCAAUCUACGUUAAUCCUUGUCCCAAUUCUGUGUAGGUCAUGUCAAAAAAAAAUUCUGUGUAGGUCACGACCUCCCCAUCUCCUUCAAAAAAAAAUCUUUCUAAAGCCCACAAUCUUUGAUGGUUGUAAACGUAGAAUACAUGGAAGACUCGAUCCUAAUCUACAUCGUAUUGUGUAGGUCACAAACUCCCCAUCUCCUUCCCCUAAAAAAACUGGCCAUCUCCUUCCCCUAAAAACGAACUCCCCAUCGCCUCAUCUCAGAAAAUAAAAAACCCUCUCACACACGCCGCCGCCACAGCAGAAGCAGCCGCCAUGUUCGCCUCGCUGCAUACAGCCGGUCGAUCAUAGCAAUCUUUCCAUAUGCUUAAUACGUACCCUCAUGCCUUCAAACUUUCCAAGCGCUUAAUCCCCUCAUGCGCUCAAACUUUAUCCGUGCGAUUUCCCGGAUCUUCGUUUCUCUUUGUGUUGUGGCGGCCGUUGUGCGAGUCAGCGUGCUUGAGCGCGUCAGGUUCGGUUUCAAGGUGCAGUGAUGGAGUAUGAUGCUAUUGGCUUGUUGCCUAC